UAGGGAAUCUUCCGCAAUGGGCGAAAGCUUGACGGAGCAACGCCGCGUGAGUGAUGAAGGUCUUCGGAUCGUAAAACUCUGUUAUUAGGGAAGAACAAAUGUGUAAGUAACUAUGCACGUCUUGACGGUACCUAAUCAGAAAGCCACGGCUAACUACGUGCCAGCAGCCGCGGUAAUACGUAGGUGGCAAGCGUUAUCCGGAAUUAUUGGGCGUAAAGCGCGCGUAGGCGGUUUUUUAAGUCUGAUGUGAAAGCCCACGGCUCAACCGUGGAGGGUCAUUGGCAACUGGAAAACUUGAGUGCAGAAGAGGAAAGUGGAAUUCCAUGUGUAGCGGUGAAAUGCGCAGAGAUAUGGAGGAACACCAGUGGCGAAGGCGACUUUCUGGUCUGUAACUGACGCUGAUGUGCGAAAGCGUGGGGAUCAAACAGG
Molecule: ribosomal RNA, 429 nt
Filed under: Actinomycetes bacterium
Lineage: Bacteria; Bacillati; Actinomycetota; Actinomycetes
Description: Actinobacteria bacterium partial 16S ribosomal RNA
Rfam family: Bacterial small subunit ribosomal RNA
Source: RNAcentral